GAGAGGGUAUGAGACAGCUGUCCCUCUAAAGGAAGAGAGAAGGUAUGCGACAGCUGUCCCUCUAUAGGAAGAGAGAAGGUAUGAGACAGCUGUCCCUCUAAAGGAAGCGAGAAGGUAUGAGAAAGCUGUCGCUCUAUAGGAAGAGAGAAGGUAUGAGACAGCUGUCCCUCUAAAGGAAGAGAGAAGGUAUGAGACAGCUGUCCCUCUAAAGGAAGAGAGAAGGUAUGAGACAGCUGUCCCUCUAAAGGAUGCGAGAAGGUAUGAGACAGCUGUCCCUCUAAAGGAUGCGAGAAGGUAUGAGACAGCUGUCCCUCUAAAGGAUGCGAGAAGGUAUGAGACAGCUGUCCCUCUAAAGGAAGAGAUGAGGUAUGAGACAGCUGUCCCUCUAUAGGAAGAGAGAAGGUAUGAGACAGCUGUCCCUCUAUAGGAAGAGAGAAGGUAUGAGACAGCUGUCCCUCUAUAGGAAGAGAGAAGGUAUGAGACAGCUGUCCCUCUAUAGGAAGAGAGAAGGUAUGAGACAGCUGUCCCUCUAUAGGAAGAGAGAAGGUAUGAGACAGCUGUCCCUCUAUAGGAAGAGAGAAGGUAUGAGACAGCUGUCCCUCUAUAGGAAGAGAGAAGGUAUGAGACAGCUGUCCCUCUAAAGGAAGAGAGAAGGUAUGAGACAGCUGUCCCUCUAAAGGAAGAGAUGAGGUAUGAGACAGCUGUCCCUCUAUAGGAAGAGAGAAGGUAUGAGACAGCUGUCCCUCUAAAGGAAGAGAGAAGGUAUGAGACAGCUGUCCCUCUAAAGGAAGAGAUGAGGUAUGAGACAGCUGUCCCUCUAAAGGAAGAGAGAAGGUAUGAGACAGCUGGCACUCUAUAGGAAGAGAGAAGGUAUGAGAAAGCUGGCCCUCUAUAGCAAGAGAGAAGGUAUGAGACAGCUGGCCCACUAUAGCAAGAGAGAAAGUAUAAGACAGAUGUCAAUUCAGAGGCUCACUGGAUGUUUACUUUUUGCCAAAAACAAGAAAAGAAAAAGAAACCGUUAGUUUUAUUAGUACAUUGUAAAUAAAAUAUUAUAUUAAUAAUGAUAGGUUAAUAAUUGUAUAUA
Molecule: long non-coding RNA, 1084 nt
Organism: Oncorhynchus keta (chum salmon)
Lineage: Eukaryota; Metazoa; Chordata; Actinopteri; Salmoniformes; Salmonidae
Exons: 6
Source: RefSeq, a predicted model, not a curated record